GAACCGCAAGUGUGCAGCCGCUGUACGGCUAAGGGCCGUGCAGAGGAAAGUCCGAACUUCACAGGGCAGGGUGCCGGCCGAGAGCCUUCCGGGGCUCAAGUCCGGGAAUGACGGUGCAAACCGCUCAUGACAGACAGUGCAACAGAAAGCAGACCGCUCCGGGCAACCGGAGUAAGGGUGAAACGGCGGUGUAAGAGACCACCAGGCUCUUCAGUAAUGGAGUGCGCUAGGCAAACCUCCCCGAAGCAAGGCUAAAUAGGAAAGCUUUCCCCCCAAGGGGGGAAGAGAGCGGCCCGUUCAAUUCCGCAAGGAGAGCUUUCGGGUAAGCCGCAUCAGAUAAAUGGCUGCAGUUUUGCCCGGAUUCCGGGCAAUCCACAGAAUUCGGCUUACAUCUUCGGUUUCAGC
This 405-nucleotide RNase P RNA is filed under the name Chlorobiaceae bacterium. Its description in RNAcentral is "RNase P RNA component class A". It matches the Rfam family "Bacterial RNase P class A". Rfam says of the family: Ribonuclease P (RNase P) is a ubiquitous endoribonuclease, found in archaea, bacteria and eukarya as well as chloroplasts and mitochondria. Lineage: Bacteria; Pseudomonadati; Chlorobiota; Chlorobiia; Chlorobiales; Chlorobiaceae. The record is from RNAcentral.